GAUGAAGAACGUAGCGAAUUGCGAUAAGUAAUGUGAAUUGCAGAUACUCGUGAAUCAUUGAAUUUUUGAACGCACAUUGCGCCCUUGAGCAUUCUCAGGGGCAUGCCUGUUUGAGCGUCAUUUCCUUCUCAAAAGAUAAUUUAUUAUUUUUUGGUUGUGGGCGAUACUCAGGGUUAGCUUGAAAUUGGAGACUGUUUCAGUCUUUUUUAAUUCAACACUUAGCUUCUUUGGAGACGCUGUUCUCGCUGUGAUGUAUUUAUGGAUUUAUUCGUUUUACUUUACAAGGGAAAUGGUAACGUACCUUAGGCAAAGGGUUGCUUUUAAUAUUCAUCAAGUUUGACCUCAAAUCAGGUAGGAUUACCCGCUGAACUUAAGCAUAUCAAUAAGCGGAGGA
RNAcentral lists this unclassified non-coding RNA (394 nucleotides) under soil metagenome. Its description in RNAcentral is "partial contains 5.8S ribosomal RNA, internal transcribed spacer 2, and large subunit ribosomal RNA". The stretch from base 1 to 120 matches the Rfam family "5.8S ribosomal RNA", at positions 35 to 154 of the family's 154-position model. The record is from RNAcentral.